Molecule: ribosomal RNA, 567 nt
Filed under: Bacillus cereus
Lineage: Bacteria; Bacillati; Bacillota; Bacilli; Caryophanales; Bacillaceae
Description: bacterial SSU rRNA
Rfam family: Bacterial small subunit ribosomal RNA
Source: RNAcentral
CAUUUAUGGAUGGACCCGCGUCGCAUUAGCUAUUUGGUGAGGUAACGGCUCACCAAGGCAACAAUGCAUACCCGACCUGAGAGGGUGAUCGGCCACACUGGGACUGAGACACGGCCCAGACUCCUACGGGAGGCAACAUUAGGGAAUCUUCCGCAAUGGACAAAAGUCUGACGGAGCAACGCCGCGUGAGUGAUGAAGGCUUUCGGGUCGUAAAACUCUGUUGUUAGGGAAAAACAAGUGCUAGUUGAAUAGGCUGGCACCUUGACGGUACCUAACCAAAAAGCCACGGCUAACUACGUGCCAACACCCGCGGUAAUACGUAUGUGGCAAGCGUUAUCCGGAAUUAUUGGGCGUAAAGCGCGCGCAGGUGGUUUCUUAAGUCUGAUGUGAAAGCCCACGGCUCACCCGUGGAGGGUCAUUGGAAACUGGGAGACUUGAGUGCAGAAGAGGAAGUGAUUUCCAUGUGUAGCGGUGAAAUGCGUAGAGAUGUGGAGGAACACCAGUGGCGAGGCGACUCUCUGGUCUGUAACUGACCUGAGCGCGAAAGCGUGGGGAGCAAACAGGAUU